UGUCUUCUCUUGUUUACUAUAUUUGGUGUUAAUAAUCAUGAUGAGUCAAGAUCAUGUUGGUAGUGACCAGACGCAAAUCAUAAAGGGUAAGCGUACGAAGCGACAGAGAUCAUCUUCGUCGACCUUUUUGGUGGCGGCCGCAGCGGCUACCACCAACACCUCUUCAAGCUCAUCAGCCGGGGAUGGCGGCGGAGGGAGAGCAGUUUCCGAUGAAUACAACUCGGCGGUUUCGUCUCCAGUGACCACAACUGAUUGUACUGAAGAAGAGGAAGACAUGGCGAUUUGUCUCAUCAUGCUUGCGCGCGGAGCGGCUCUUUCACCAGAUCUCAAGAAUUCGAGAAAAGCUGAUAAAACUCUUUCGUCGGCAGAGAAUUCGAGUUUCUUUGUCUACGAGUGUAAAACAUGUAGCCGGACGUUCUCGUCGUUCCAAGCUCUCGGUGGACACAGGGCGAGCCACAAGAAACCUAGAGUGUCGAUAGAGGCAAAGACUAAACUACCCCUGAUGCAGGCCAAGUCUAGUGGGUCAGAGGAAGGGCAAAAAUAUAAUUUCAAAGUGUUUGGUUCAUCCCUAGCUUCGCUGUCAAGUAACAUCAUCAUCAGCAAGGCAAACAAAGUACACGAGUGUUCGAUCUGCGGUUCAGAGUUCACUUCGGGACAAGCCCUCGGCGGCCACAUGAGGCGGCACAGGACAGCCACCACUGCGGUAAUACCGGUCGCUACCACAGAAGUUAGCAGAAACAGUACAGAAGAGGAGACUGAGAAUUUGAGCUCUUACAUUGAGCAGAGGAAAUAUUUACCGCUGGAUCUUAAUCUACCGGCACCAGAAGAUGAUCUAAGAGAGUCCAAGUUUCAAGGGAUUGUGUUCUCAACCACACCAGCGUUAAUAGAUUGUCAUUACUAGUUGUUUGUAGUUGAAUGUUUAGUUACAUGAUAAUAUAUUUGUGAAUUCUUCUUCUAUUACUAUAUUGUUGAACUGGAAUUAUUUCCAAAAAUUGAAUCAAAGUAUCAGUUGAUUUUUUUUAAUAGGAGGAAAAUGAAAUGUGCAAGUUAUAAUGAAAAAGAAGGAAUAAUAGUAGGAGUUAAGUAAAGGGUUGUGUGAUAGUUAGAUGAUCUACUUGUUGAAGUAAGAAUAGUUUGAGUAAGCAAGUGGUUUGUGUUCAUGGUUGCCUUUCAUUCACGAAAAGAAAGUGACUUCCAAGGCAUCUUUUCUUUCCCUCUUUUUAAGGUAUAUGUUAUUAUUCUUUUAAACAAAAAUACAAAUUAUGAGUUUUUUGUAACAUGUGAACCAAGCAUUGUAUUGCUUGUAGACGCCUCUUUCCCCCCACGAUUACGCAGCCAACGCUAUAUUGUGUUCUACUACUUCAAACAAAAUAUGUUAUGGCAUAAAAAUUUAUAGAAAAUCUAGAGAAAUAGAGGCAUAUAUAAAACAUUAUAAAAUACAUAUAAAGAACUUUGAAUGUUUUAUUUGAAAAUAAUAUUUAAUAAAUCUUAUUUUCAUUUGAUAUUUGAGUUUUAGGUACCAGAGUAUAAAAGAAGCACUUUAAAACAUACCAACUAUUUUUUUUUUUUUUGUAAAUAGUGAUGUCUCUUAUGACAUUAUGUAUAAGAAGCCCAACGCUAUAUUCCAUCUUUCCCAUUUCAUAAUUUUAUGGUAUAAAUAUAUUCAUAUGCUAAAUAGCAUUUGAAAUCAUAUUCUUAUGUUAGUCACCUAAUAUACAAAAGUAUUAUUCACCUAAUAUAAUCUGACAAAGUACAAAAUAAUCCUCAUUUUCGAGAUUCCAAAAUUAGUUUGAGAUUUUUCUCAAAAAAGAAAAAAGUUUGAAAAUCAAGUUAUGAUUAACUCAGUCACAAUAUUUAAAAGGGUAAUUAUUUAGUAAUGAAUAAAAAUAAUAAUGUCUCAUUUUGAAUUUGUGCUAUGAUGAACAAUACUAUUUUCCAGCUCCUUUUCAUAACAAGCAAUUUGUAAAUAAGCAUACAUAUAUAAUCCAUUUAUAUAAGUUGGUUAAAUAAUCAGGAAAAUGUUAUAUAUACACACAAUGAAUUUAAGAAACAGAAAGGUAGUGUGGACUGUGGACACGAGAUGGACGUGGUGACCGGCUUAGGUCGUGUAUUAGGUUCCCGGCCCUUUGGUUUUGGGUUGUUGGUCAUCACAUUUACAAUUUAUCAUAUAUGAAUCAUUUUAGUCAAUUAUAACGGACUAACAAUUAUUAUAACAUAACAGAAAGUAGAAAAGAAAAGAAAAACUAAUAAUUAGAAGUAAAAAAGAAAAUAAACAGUGACAGCAGAAACAGUCACAAGAUUCACUCACCGCUUCACUCCUUGCUUCCAAUGCUCCUCUAAUAAAUCUAUUAUUGCAGUUGCAUUUACGAUUCAACGUUAUUAUUGAAAUAGAAUGUAUUAACAUAUUCUUGUUCUCGCACGAUGUUAUUUUGUCGAUUAAACUAUCUUUCUACAAAUUUAUUUUACAGAUUAGUGAAAAACUUGUAGAGCUCCAAGCCUACAAUGUAUAGAAUAAAAUCUGAAUGUAGUUUCCUUCGCUUUCAUUCUCAAAAUCAGCAAGUGAAAGUCAUAUGUACAUAACUCUAUAAGCAAUAAAAAGAUGACCAAUAUACUAAGCCAAAAGAGACUAGAACAGUAAGUUUUUUUUUUUACAGUAGACUGAUAUAUUUGUUUUACCGAUCCAGGAGUCCUAUACAUCAAUAGUUCUUAAAGUGUACGAGUCAAGAACUUUUGUUAACCACGUUUGGUAAAACAUAUACUAAACAAGGGUAAUAAAAUUGAAACAUAUACCAAACAUGUAUUAGAGUUAUGUAUUGUUAGAAAUAGACUACAUCCAUCGACAAGCCCGCAACAAGGCCCAAAAAUGUAAUUGAACUCGGUAUAGUUAAGAAGAGAGGCGGUCGAGACGAUUCAAGUCGGCUUAAGAGAAAAAGAAAGAAAUCGGCGAGUUCAGCUAUAAAUGGGUGGAACUCGCAAAGAGAAGACAUUCACAAAAGCAUAAAGGCCGGCAUGAGAAUGAAGGUUUUCGUGGUUGCACCUUCUUCUUGAAGAAUUCAUAAUUCUCUUACAAUUUCAUUAUCAUUUUCUUUCAUUAUCUUUUUCCUUGUAAUUGAUAUUUGAUCUCUAAAAAAAAAAUCUUUCAUAUAAUCCACUAUAAAGUUAAUUGGCUUAAUAAACACAAAAGAAGAAAAAAAUAAUAAAAUAACUAUAUAAUAAAGUGGCUGGUCAAGUGACAAUUUUGCUAAAAGUGGAUCAUUUACUCCUUUUCCAUGGGUGACAGUGCAACAAACAUGAUGUGUACAUAACAAUUGAUUUAUUGUUACAUUAUAACGAAAAAUAUAACAAAUAUUUUCUUAUUUUUCUAUUCUAUAGGUCUCUAAUAGAAUAUAACAUGAAAAUUGUAAUAGUAAUUUCUUUUUUUGAUUAUUUUUAGUCACUAUCAGUGGAAAAAAAAUGUAUAUAUGAAAACAGUAAAAGAAGAAAAAUGAAACCACCACAAAAAAAUAAAUGGAUGAGAAAAAACAGGUAGUGGGAUAAGGUGGGAAGACGAUGGGUGACCAUAGUGAGGGAGUAGAAGACGGCGACGAAAGAGAAGGAGGAAGGGAAGGAAAGAGAGAAGGAGGAGAAAGAUGAUGAGAAGAAGAAAGAAGAGGACGGAGAAGGAAAGUAAAAAAAGAAAAAAAAAGAGGAGGAAAAAAGGAUGAAGAAGAAGAAAAUUGUUGAGAAUGAGAAAGGGUAAGAAGAGAAAAAGAAGAAUGAAAAUGAGAAUGUGUUUGAUUCUAAUUUAUAUUAUGUAGUGUAAAAUGUAUUGUAUAUAGUUUGAUGUUCACUUCCUCUUUACAAUGUGGUUGACAUAUAUUAUGUAAGAGAUACACUUGUUGUCGUCGAAAAUGACAUAAUUAACAAGACCUCAUAUACUAAAGCGCUAUCUAAACACAAACACCUUUUCAUUGUCAUAUUCACAUCCUCUUGAAGCACUCUAUUCUAUGUUCUGAAAAUAUAAUAGUAUAUACUGUUCAUCUUCUCCAGUUUUGAAUUCCGUCUUCACUGUUGCUUGUUGAAUCAUCAAAUCUCUAACCACUAGCAUGCUCGCGUGAUUCACCUCAAGCUCUAGAUCCAUUAAUGCUGACAUCAGCCUUACCGUUGGGCGUUGGACUUGCUUGAUUAUCCUCUAAUCUUUGUAUCCCAACCAAUAAUCUUCACUGCGAUCUUUAUCUCCACUGGUCUGAUCACCAUUAUCGAGAAUGAUAACGAUAGCUUUCUACCAGUGCUCACUUUUAUUAUGGUAUUCCGGCAACCUCUGUAUUUCUAAAGAGUAUUUUGAUAUGCUAUUUUUGCCUGUUUUUUCAGAUUUUUUUUCUUUCUAUCAGUCUGAAUAGGAUAAAAAAGUUAUAAAAUUUCUUACAAAUGACACAAGGGAUAGCUAGAUCCGAACCACCAUUUAAAUUGCAUGGGCUGAAACCUAAGAUCAAACUGGCCAAAUUAAUGGAGUCCACAAAAAACAUAGUUAUAUUGAUAAACUUACCUUUUUAAAUUACCUAAAAGUAUUGUAUUCUUUUUUUUAAUGAAAAGUAUUGUAUUUUUAGUAGGGUUUAUGAACAAUUACGUAAACAACAUUUCACUAUAAUAAAUUGAUCUAAUAUCCAUUACUGGAACAUAAAAAAUGAAAAACCAGAAAAUCAGUGUAAACUUUUUGAAAACAAAUUUGUAAUAUAUUCGGAAAUGGAAUCAAAGCAGCAAAAUUGGAAAAGCUGCCAAGUCAGGAAAAUUAACAAUUACGUAAAAUAUAGAUUUCGCUAUAAUAGUGAUAAUUCCAUUAACAGAAACGUAAAAAAUGAAAAACCAGAAACCAGAAUAAGGUCUUAGAAUUUUUUUUUGUUCGUCGACCUUUUUGGUGGCGGCCGCAGCGGCUACCACCAACACCUCUUCAAGCUCAUCAGCCGGGGAUGGCGGCGGAGGGAGAGCAGUUUCCGAUGAAUACAACUCGGCGGUUUCGUCUCCAGUGACCACAACUGAUUGUACUGAAGAAGAGGAAGACAUGGCGAUUUGUCUCAUCAUGCUUGC
This 5064-nucleotide long non-coding RNA is filed under the name Brassica napus (rape). RNAcentral describes it as "long non-coding RNA (BNAP_LNC003660)". The record is from RNAcentral. Lineage: Eukaryota; Viridiplantae; Streptophyta; Magnoliopsida; Brassicales; Brassicaceae.